AUUGCCCCAGUAACGGCGAGUGAAGCGGCAACAGCUCAAAUUUGAAAUCUGGCUCUCGGGCCCGAGUUGUAAUUUGUAGAGGAUGCUUUUGGUGAGGUGCCUUCCGAGUUCCCUGGAACGGGACGCCAUAGAGGGUGAGAGCCCCGUCUGGUUGGACGCCGAACCUCUGUAAAGCUCCUUCGACGAGUCGAGUAGUUUGGGAAUGCUGCUCUAAAUGGGAGGUAUAUGUCUUCUAAAGCUAAAUACCGGCCAGAGACCGAUAGCGCACAAGUAGAGUGAUCGAAAGAUGAAAAGAACUUUGAAAAGAGAGUUAAACAGUACGUGAAAUUGUUGAAAGGGAAGCGCUUGUGACCAGACUUGGGCUUGGUUGAUCAUCCGGGGUUCUCCCCGGUGCACUCUUCCGGCCCAGGCCAGCAUCAGUUCGCCCUGGGGGAUAAAGGCAUCGGGAACGUGGCUCUCUCCGGGGAGUGUUAUAGCCCGUUGCGUAAUACCCUGCGGCGGACUGAGGUUCGCGCAUUCGCAAGGAUGCUGGCGUAAUGGUCAUCAGUGACCCGUCUUGAAACACGGACCAAGGAGUCGUCUUCGUAUGCGAGUGUUCGGGUGUCAAACCCCUACGCGAAAUGAAAGUGAACGCAGGUGAGAGCUUCGGCGCAUCAUCGACCGAUCCUGAUGUUAUCGGAUGGAUUUGAGUAAGAGCAUACGGGGCCGGACCCGAAAGAAGGUGAACUAUGCCUGUGUAGGGUGAAGCCAGAGGAAACUCUGGUGGAGGCUCGCAGCGGUUCUGACGUGCAAAUCGAUCGUCAAACAUGGGCAUGGGGGCGAAAGACUAAU
This 831-nucleotide ribosomal RNA is filed under the name Fusarium solani-melongenae. RNAcentral describes it as "partial 28S ribosomal RNA". It matches the Rfam family "Eukaryotic large subunit ribosomal RNA", at positions 74 to 935 of the family's 3401-position model. The record is from RNAcentral. Lineage: Eukaryota; Fungi; Ascomycota; Sordariomycetes; Hypocreales; Nectriaceae.